CGUCGUUGACCAUCUCGGGGCUGACCUAGUCAGUUUCAAUAGGAGUCUGCUUCUAACCGUCUCUUGACUGAGACUAGCGACUUGUGCGCUAACUUUUGACUUGACCUCAAAUCAGGUAGGACUACCCGCUGAACUUAAGCAUAUCAAUAAGCGGAGGAAAAGAAACUAACAAGGAUUCCCCUAGUAACUGCGAGUGAAGCGGGAAAAGCUCAAAUUUAAAAUCUGGCGGUCUCCGGCCGUCCGAGUUGUAAUUUAGAGAAGCGUUAUCCGUGCUGGACCGUGUAUAAGUCUCCUGGAAUGGAGCGUCAUAGAGGGUGAGAAUCCCGUCUUUGACACGGACUACCAGUGCAUUGUGAUGCGCUCUCGACGAGUCGAGUUGUUUGGGAAUGCAGCUCAAAAUGGGUGGUAAAUGCCAUCUAAAGCUAAAUAUUGGCGAGAGACCGAUAGCGAACAAGUACCGUGAGGGAAAGAUGAAAAGAACUUUGGAAAGAGAGUUAAACAGUACGUGAAAUUGUCGAAAGGGAAACGGUUGCAGUCAGUCGCGUCCGCCGGGGAUCAACCUUGCUUUUGCUUGGCGUAUUUCCCGGUGGAUGGGUCAGCAUCAGUUUUGACCGCAGUUGAAAGGCUGGAGGAAUGUGGCACCUUCGGGUGUGUUAUAGCCUCCUGUCAUAUGCUGCGGUUGGGACUGAGGAACUCAGCACGCCGCAAGGCCGGGAUUCGUCCACGUUCGUGCUUAGGAUGCUGGCAUAAUGUCUGUAACCGACCCGUCUUGAAACACGGACCAAGGAGUCUAACAUGCACGCGAGUGUUUGGGUGGCAAACCCGAGCGCGUAAUGAA
This 838-nucleotide ribosomal RNA is filed under the name Schizophyllum commune. RNAcentral describes it as "eukaryotic LSU rRNA". The stretch from base 102 to 838 matches the Rfam family "Eukaryotic large subunit ribosomal RNA", at positions 1 to 723 of the family's 3401-position model. Lineage: Eukaryota; Fungi; Basidiomycota; Agaricomycetes; Agaricales; Schizophyllaceae. The record is from RNAcentral.